This 735-nucleotide ribosomal RNA is filed under the name uncultured bacterium. Its description in RNAcentral is "bacterial SSU rRNA". It matches the Rfam family "Bacterial small subunit ribosomal RNA", at positions 771 to 1501 of the family's 1533-position model. The record is from RNAcentral.
AACAGGAUUAGAUACCCUGGUAGUCCAUGCCGUAAACGAUGAGUGUUAAGUGUUAGGGGGUUUCCGCCCCUUAGUGCUGCAGCUAACGCAUUAAGCACUCCGCCUGGGGAGUACGGCCGCAAGGCUGAAACUCAAAGGAAUUGACGGGGGCCCGCACAAGCGGUGGAGCAUGUGGUUUAAUUCGAAGCAACGCGAAGAACCUUACCAGGUCUUGACAUCCCGCUGCCCGGUGUAGAGAUACGCCUUUCCCUUCGGGGACAGCGGUGACAGGUGGUGCAUGGUUGUCGUCAGCUCGUGUCGUGAGAUGUUGGGUUAAGUCCCGCAACGAGCGCAACCCUUGAUCUUAGUUGCCAGCAUUCAGUUGGGCACUCUAAGGUGACUGCCGGUGACAAACCGGAGGAAGGUGGGGAUGACGUCAAAUCAUCAUGCCCCUUAUGACCUGGGCUACACACGUGCUACAAUGGACGGUACAAAGGGCUGCCAACCCGCGAGGGGGAGCCAAUCCCAGAAAACCGUUCUCAGUUCGGAUUGCAGGCUGCAACUCGCCUGCAUGAAGCCGGAAUCGCUAGUAAUCGUGGAUCAGCAUGCCACGGUGAAUACGUUCCCGGGCCUUGUACACACCGCCCGUCACACCACGAGAGUUUGUAACACCCGAAGUCGGUGAGGUAACCCUUUGUGGGAGCCAGCCGCCGAAGGUGGGACGGAUGAUUGGGGUGAAGUCGUAACAAGGUAACC